CGACCGGCGCACGGGUGAGUAACACGUAUCCAACCUGCCGUCUACUCUUGGACAGCCUUCUGAAAGGAAGAUUAAUACAAGAUGGCAUCAUGAGUCCGCAUGUUCACAUGAUUAAAGGUAUUCCGGUAGACGAUGGGGAUGCGUUCCAUUAGAUGGUAGGCGGGGUAACGGCCCACCUAGUCUUCGAUGGAUAGGGGUUCUGAGAGGAAGGUCCCCCACAUUGGAACUGAGACACGGUCCAAACUCCUACGGGAGGCAGCAUG
RNAcentral lists this ribosomal RNA (263 nucleotides) under uncultured bacterium. Its description in RNAcentral is "partial 16S ribosomal RNA". It matches the Rfam family "Bacterial small subunit ribosomal RNA", at positions 92 to 353 of the family's 1533-position model. The record is from RNAcentral.